Bombyx mori (domestic silkworm) is the source of this 1389-nucleotide long non-coding RNA. RefSeq lists it as uncharacterized. The transcript has 2 exons. Lineage: Eukaryota; Metazoa; Arthropoda; Insecta; Lepidoptera; Bombycidae. The record is from RefSeq and is a predicted model, not a curated record.
AACAGAAAUUUUAAAAUUGGAACUCAUAUUAGAUCCAUUCGAAUUCCCGCUUGUGUACGCGCAACACGUACUACUGCAAAUUAAACUAUUAAAAUCUAAUUACUGUCAGCUCAUUUUCACCGCUACACUAAAACUUUCAAUUGUGAUUGUGGAGUGCUCGCAUCUCAUUCGCCGCCGAAAAACCGUCUAGGAAUUCUGCCGCUGAAGAGAACAAGGACUUGGAAUACAACAGGAGGAAAUCACCGGACUUCCGCCCCCCACUGGGUAUAGAGGGCGGGGCAUGUCGAAGUUGAACCGACGAAAACCUCCUGUCGCUCAACAACCAGCAUCCAAACCUCGCAUGAGACAGAACUCAUGAAAAGGCAAAGAGGGGAAAGUGAAGCGUUUAGUGCGGAGCACAUCUCUUCCAUCACCCUUCCCCUCGGGACACCGGACCGGCGGUCGUCGACGCCACGACCACCAGCCCUCUCGGGAAACAAAUAGACCUAAGCAGAUAAGUAGUGUUCCUUCACCAUUCUUUUAAAGCAAUUUAAAGUUGGAGCACUUCUCACUGCAUCCGGCAGAGCAUUCCACAAUUGAACCGCCUGGACGGUGAAUGAAUUAUCAAAGAAUGAUGAUGAAUGCGCCGGCAUUUUUAGUCUCAGGCUAUCCGAUGAUCUCAGGGAAAAAUUGUGCGUAUCACCUAGGAACUCGAAACGUUCUUUGAGAUAUGGGUAUGGGGAUUAAAGAGAGUGCAAUAUAGUAAUUAAUGAAAGGACAUGAAUAUUGCGUAGAAGGCAAAUAGGUAACCACUUGAGUUUAGUGCGAAAAUCAGAUACAUCAUCAUAUUUCCGUAAACCAAAUAUGAAUCUUAUGCAGAAAUUUUGUAGCCGCUCAAGUUUAUCAAGCUGUGUUUCAGUUAAAUCAGUAUAACUGGCAUCGGCGUAGUCAAGAAUUGGAAGAAGGAGAGAUUGUGCAAGCGCAGUUUUAGUGGCAGUUGGAAGAAAAUUUCGUAACCGUCUCAAAGAUCCAGCUGAUGCAAACACCUUCCGGCUAACCUCUUUUAUCUGUGCGUUCCAUGAAAGGUUUUUAUCAAUUAAGAUUCCUAAAUGUUUCACAGUAUCACUGAUAGGAAUUUGUACGCCAUCGAAUAAAAUAGCCGGAAGCUGCGACCAUCUCACUUUCGAGCACAUUCUUGAACUACCGACAACAAUGACCUGUGUCUUCGACGGGUUCACCCUCAAUCCAUGCGAAUUACUCCAAUGGGAUAAUAUUGAUAAAUCAUUAUUCAGCGUCUUCAUCGCGUUGGUCAGUUCUGAUAAAGAAGUUAGAUCUGUAGAUCAUCUGCGCACACAUGGUAGGAAGAAGUAAGUUGCAUAGAAAUAUUAUAGAAUUUAUAAAAAUUGAAAA